UACGUAGGGAGCAAGCGUUGUCCGGAAUCAUUGGGCGUAAAGCGCGCGUAGGUGGCCUCGUAAGUCCGCUGUGAAAGUCAAAGGCUCAACCUUUGAAAGCCGGUGGAUACUGUGGGGCUAGAGGACCGGAGGGGAGAGCAGAAUUCUUGGUGUAGCGGUGAAAUGCGUAGAUAUCAGGAGGAACACCGAUGGCGAAGGCAGGUCUCUGGGCCGCUACUGACGCUGAGAAGCGAAAGCAUGGGGAGCGAACAGG
Molecule: ribosomal RNA, 253 nt
Filed under: uncultured bacterium
Lineage: Bacteria
Description: partial 16S ribosomal RNA
Rfam family: Bacterial small subunit ribosomal RNA
Source: RNAcentral